This 1928-nucleotide unclassified non-coding RNA is filed under the name Hevea brasiliensis (rubber tree). The record is from RNAcentral. Lineage: Eukaryota; Viridiplantae; Streptophyta; Magnoliopsida; Malpighiales; Euphorbiaceae.
CCGGUACCAGACAUCCCUGAGUAUAGGGUGAAGAGGGAAGACAGUGGCUGUCCAAUACAGACCCGAUUUUAAGUUGUAACCAAAUGCCACUCUUCUCUCUUCGUCAUUCCCCUUUCCUUCCGACAUCCACUUCGAAAACGAUCAAGCCCCAUAAAUCCGGUUUUACCCCUUCCUCCUCUCGUUAUCCCUUGCACUUCCUCAUCUUUUCACUUGUUUCCCUCCUCAUCGGCCUUGCUGGCACAAUAUUCGCUAUCUCCGCUAUCCGCCGGCCCCGGCCCUUACCUGUUUUCCGCUGCGGUAGAUCCGAAGACACUUUUCGCGCAUUCUACUCGAGCUCGGGUUCUAACAAGCUUGGAGAUGAUAACGCGGCGCUGAAUGAUCGGCCCAAGCUUCUUGGGUUCGUUGGAAUUCAAACCGGGUUUGAUUCCGUUGAUCGGCGUGCUGCCCUUAGAAGCACUUGGUUUCCUUCUGACCCAGAUGGGCUUUUGAGGUAUAUUAUGAUGUUUUUACUGAAUUUGAGAAAUUUUAUGAUAUUUAGUGUUCUUGAUUCGGAUCACUAAUGAUUUUGGGUAGCUUUUUGCUAAAAGGUAAAGAUUUCGGAUCAUUGCACAUUUUGGAUUUUCAAAGUUUUUAUCUUUACUCUUUGUGACUUCUUGUUGAUGAUGCUACUUGAUAAUCCCAGCUCAUUAUGAGAUCUUUCUAUUGGAAGGUAUAGAAAUAGAUUUCUUCAAUUAUAUUUGAGCCUAAAACACUGUUCACAUGCCAGGAUUUCUUCAAGCCACCCCUCUCAAUGUAGAGAUAUCAUUUUUGUUUGCUAUUUCGUUCCAGAGAAUUGCGCUUGCCCAAUUAUGAUAAUUUUCUAUAAUGCUAUUGUUGCUUUUUGGAGGUUAGAGCAAGCUACUGGUUUAGCAUUUAGAUUUGUAAUAGGGCGAUCAAAAGAUGCAAAGAAGAUGGCACGACUUGAGAAAGAAGUUGAAAAGUACAGAGAUUUCAUGCUGAUAGAUGUUGAGGAAGAAUAUCUAAGGCUUCCAUACAAAACGUUGGCAUUUUUCAAGGCAGCCUAUAAGCUUUUUGAAGCAGAUUAUUAUGUUAAGGCUGAUGAUGACAUCUAUUUGCGUCCAGAUCGACUUGCAACUCUUCUUGCAAAGGAAAGAACCCAUGCAAUGACUUACAUAGGAUGCAUGAAGAAAGGACCAGUGAUCACUGACCCUAAAAUGAAGUGGUAUGAAAAAUCUGGGCAUCUGAUUGGAAAUGAGUACUUUUUGCAUGCUUAUGGUCCUAUAUAUGUUCUUUCAGCAGAGGUUGUGGCUUCCUUAGCAGCUGCUAGAAAUAAAAGUUUGAGAAUGUUCAACAAUGAGGAUGUCACUAUUGGUUCAUGGAUGCUUGCUAUGAAUGUUCACCAUGAAGAUAACCGCGCAAUUUGUGAUCCUCGAUGCACUCCAACAUCCAUAGCAGUUUGGGACAUUCCUAAAUGUUCAGGUUUAUGCAAUCCUGCUAGCCGGAUGAGGGAGCUUCACAAGAUUGAUAUGUGUUCCAAAAGCCCCACAUUGCCGGCUGACGAAAAAUAGUUUCCUCAGUUCAUUUGUGACAGGGCAAGAUGGGCUGUUUUGUUGGAGAUGCUUAGUUUGGUGGGAAAGCAAUUGUAUUCUUGAAGUAGCUUUCAGAAGAAAGGUGGAGAGCUUCCACCCCUGAACUAUUGAUGUAAAAAUUAGUGUACUAUAGGUGAGCAUUUCAUUACAUUAAAGUUCUUAAACAUAUGACAGUCAGUAAAUAUGUAGAAUAUCAAUAAAAGAUCUGCAUCUACGGGACCAUUUUGAUCACGAGGGACUGGAUUCAGGGUUUGAUAAGGUAUGUUCAGUGUGGGAUAAAUUUUGAUAACUGUCGCUGAACUUUGAUAACUAUUUCUAAACUUAUCUAGUUGUAACAUU